This 253-nucleotide ribosomal RNA is filed under the name uncultured bacterium. RNAcentral describes it as "partial 16S ribosomal RNA". It matches the Rfam family "Bacterial small subunit ribosomal RNA", at positions 524 to 776 of the family's 1533-position model. The record is from RNAcentral.
UACAGAGACUGCAAGCGUUAUUCGGAUUCACUGGGCGUAAAGGGUGCGCAGGCGGCCGUGUGUGUCAGGGGUGAAAGCCCGGGGCUUAACCCCGGAAUUGCGCCUGAAACUACAUGGCUAGAGCAUUGGAGAGGGUAGCGGAAUUCACGGUGUAGCAGUGAAAUGCGUAGAUAUCGUGAGGAACACCAGAGGCGAAGGCGGCUACCUGGACAAUUGCUGACGCUCAGGCACGAAAGCGUGGGGAGCAAAAGGG